UACAGAGGGUGCGAGCGUUGUCCGGAAUCACUGGGCGUAAAGGGCGCGUAGGCGACGCGGUAAGCGUGCGGUGAAAGCCCGGGGCUCAACCCCGGGUCGGCCGUGCGGACUGCCGGGCUGGAGCACUGUAGAGGCAGGUGGAAUUCCGGGUGUAGCGGUGGAAUGCGUAGAGAUCCGGAAGAACACCGGUGGCGAAGGCGGCCUGCUGGGCAGUAGCUGACUCUGAAGCGCGACAGCGUGGGGAGCAAACAGG
This 253-nucleotide ribosomal RNA is filed under the name uncultured bacterium. Its description in RNAcentral is "partial 16S ribosomal RNA". It matches the Rfam family "Bacterial small subunit ribosomal RNA", at positions 524 to 776 of the family's 1533-position model. The record is from RNAcentral.